AAGGUAUUAAGUUAAGAAGACUGUGGCACUUCAAAUGCCGAAGUGGAGCAGUGAUUCAUACCUUG
This 65-nucleotide transfer RNA is filed under the name Lithoredo abatanica. Its description in RNAcentral is "tRNA-Trp". The record is from RNAcentral. Lineage: Eukaryota; Metazoa; Mollusca; Bivalvia; Myida; Teredinidae.